This 300-nucleotide long non-coding RNA is filed under the name Olea europaea subsp. europaea. The record is from RNAcentral. Lineage: Eukaryota; Viridiplantae; Streptophyta; Magnoliopsida; Lamiales; Oleaceae.
GAAACUUACGAGAUCAACCAAAGCAGCGGCCUUUUGGUAUGUUGAUCCAUAAGCAAUGGCAUUUGUUCUGUUAAACAAGUGCAUACGAUCCCUUCGUUGGUCGCCACUGCUGCCUUCUCCGCCAACCAACAAAGCCGUCUCCAUUUUUGCUCUGAUCUCUACAGAAUCAAAGAUGGGAUUGAUUUGAACGUGGUCAUUAAUGAGAAAAAGAAAUGGUUGUUCGUUAUGGAUGACUUCAAAGUCAAGCACUUCAAAUUGUCAGUAUCAGAGUAUUCUUUUAAGUUUGUGUGAUAGCUAUUU